This 676-nucleotide ribosomal RNA is filed under the name uncultured Eubacteriales bacterium. RNAcentral describes it as "bacterial SSU rRNA". It matches the Rfam family "Bacterial small subunit ribosomal RNA", at positions 59 to 737 of the family's 1533-position model. Lineage: Bacteria; Bacillati; Bacillota; Clostridia; Eubacteriales. The record is from RNAcentral.
AAGUCGAACGGGAUUUAGUAAACAGAAGCCUCGGCGGAAGAUUACUAAUGAGAGUGGCGAACGGGUGAGUAACGCGUGAGCAACCUGCCUAUGACAGUGGGAUAGCCUCGGGAAACCGGGAUUAAUACCGCAUAAAAUCGUAGAAACACAUGUUUUAACGGUCAAAGAUUUAUCGGUCAUAGAUGGGCUCGCGUCUGAUUAGCUAGUUGGUGAGAUAACAGCCCACCAAGGCGACGAUCAGUAGCCGGUCUGAGAGGAUGAACGGCCACAUUGGAACUGAGACACGGUCCAAACUCCUACGGGAGGCAGCAGUGGGGAAUAUUGCACAAUGGGGGAAACCCUGAUGCAGCGACGCCGCGUGAACGAAGAAGGUAUUCGUAUCGUAAAGUUCUGUCCUAUGGGAAGAUAAUGACAGUACCAUAGAAGAAAGCUCCGGCUAAAUACGUGCCAGCAGCCGCGGUAAUACGUAUGGAGCGAGCGUUGUCCGGAAUUAUUGGGCGUAAAGGGUACGCAGGCGGUUUAAUAAGUCGAAUGUUAAAGAUCGGGGCUCAACCCCGUAAAGCAUUGGAAACUGAUAAACUUGAGUAGUGGAGAGGAAAGUGGAAUUUCUAGUGUAGUGGUGAAAUACGUAGAUAUUAGGAGGAAUACCAGUAGCGAAGGCGACUUUCUGGACACA